AAUAGGCUUGGUCCUGGCCUUUCUAUUGACUCUUAGCAAGAUUACACAUGCAAGCAUCCCCCAUUCCGGUGAAGACGCCCUUCCCAUCAACAUGACCAGAAGGAGCAAGUAUCAAGCACGCCCAUGCAGCUCAAAACACUUUGCCCAGCCACACCCCCACGGGAGACAGCAGUGACAAACCUUUAGCAAUGAACGAAAGUUUAACUAAGCUAUGCUAUGCCAGGGUUGGUCAACUUCGUGCCAGCCACCGCGGUUAUACGAUUAACCCUAGCCAAUGGAAACCGGCGUAGAGGGUGUUUUAGAUCUAGUCCAAUAAAAGCUAAACCCCAUCUAAACUGUAAAACCCUAGCUAACGUAAAAAUAAACUACGAAGGUGGCUUUAUAAUUCCUGAACACACAAUAGCCAAGACCCAAACUGGGAUUAGACACCCCACUAUGCUUGGCCCUAAACCUCAAUAGUUAAAAUAACAAAAACUAUUCGCCAGAAUACUACAAGCAACAGCUUAAAAACUCAAAGGACUUGGCGGUGCUUCAUACCCCCUAGAGGAGCCUGUUCUGUAAUCGAUAAACCCCCGAUCCACCCCCACCCCUCUCUUGCUUAGUCUAUAUACCGCCAUCUUCAGCAAACCCUGAUGAAGGCUACGAAGUGAGCGCAAAUGCCCCUCCCCCCGCAAAAACGUUAGGUCAAGGUGUAACUUAUGAGACGGUAAAAAAUGGGCUACAUUUUUCUACUUCAGAAAACCCCACGAUAGCUCUUAUGAAAUCUAGGAGCCCAAGGAGGAUUUAGCAGUAAAUUAAGAAUAGAGUGCUUAAUUGAACUAGGCCAUAAAGCACGCACACACCGCCCGUCACUCCCCUCAAAUAUAUUUAAGGAAUAACUUAACUAAAUGCCCUAACAUUUAUAUAGAGGGGAUAAGUCGUAACACGGUAAGUGUACUGGAAGGUGC
RNAcentral lists this non-coding RNA (947 nucleotides) under Papio anubis (olive baboon). RNAcentral's name for it is "12S ribosomal RNA". It matches the Rfam family "Archaeal small subunit ribosomal RNA". Lineage: Eukaryota; Metazoa; Chordata; Mammalia; Primates; Cercopithecidae. The record is from RNAcentral.